RNAcentral lists this long non-coding RNA (2182 nucleotides) under Lupinus angustifolius (narrow-leaved blue lupine). RNAcentral describes it as "long non-coding RNA (LANG_LNC002195)". The record is from RNAcentral. Lineage: Eukaryota; Viridiplantae; Streptophyta; Magnoliopsida; Fabales; Fabaceae.
ACAAAUACACUUGGAAAUCAAAGAGCCACUAACUUAGGGGCAUAAAAGUCUAGUCCCGGAAAGUAGAUGAGCUUUUGAGGGAUUCCCUCUUUCUUUUUUUAAGCCACAAGCCAACUUCAGUCCAUAAACCAAACUAAAGUCCUUAAAGCCAAUGAAGUUGUUAACAUUUCAUUAGACAAACGUAUAAUUACAAUCACUAGGUAUAUAAGUAAAGAGGACAAGGCACUGCCCCUGAAGGUUCAAAUACUUGAUAAACAAGGCAUACAAAGAGAUUAUCAUUUAAAACCGUACAAGGCAUUUCAUUUGGAAUAACCAUGAAGAUGGUUGAAAGAGAUCUGACACCUAAUGUCAUCAGUUAUAUGUUGCAAAGUUAUUGGAUGGAUGAAGCCAUGACGCUCCUAACAGAAACGCGUCAUUAAAACUCAGUUCUAGGCACCAUAACUUGUGAUUUUCUUCUUGAUGGCAUGUCCAAGUCAGGAAGAAGCAUGGAUGAACGGGACGGAGUUGAGGCUGUGCGUGCCAAUUCCACCACCUAAUUCCCUCAGUUGUAACUGCAAAAAGAGAUUACAAUCAUAGCAUUAGAGUUAAGAACCCGUAGUGAAAAUUCAGUCAUGACAAAAACUCAAAAAAAAAGCAUGAUGUGAAUUAAUAAUUAGAAGGAUUUCAAAAGAGACACAGUUGCAAACCAGAAGCCAUUCCUUUUACAGUUACACUCUUAAGGAAGAAGUGGCCUAUGCAAUUACAGAUUUCUAAUGAAGCAAUUAAGCAAACCAGCAAAUAGCCAAUUUCAGUUACGAACCAGCAAGGGGCAUAUAUGGGUUAUCAAUCAAAUCAUGAACAAGCCAUAAAGAGCAAAGGUAAUUCAGAAAUCAUAGGUCUUUCAGUUACAAAUUCCUAUCAACAGUCAGGGGCAAUUUUAAGGCCUCACUAAACCAUGAAAAUUUAAAAGAGGCAAAUCUGAAAGCCUCACCAUUUCAGUUACAAAUUAGCCAUAAUUGGCAGCAAUAAUAGGCAGCAAUAAUAGGCAGCAUUGAAGUGGAAUAAACCAAAAUAGAAUAAUCAGGAAACAAAAUGGUCAUCUUACGUUGGAUUGCAAUUGGCAACUCAAGAGGUUCCUAUGAACCCUCAAUCAGUAUAAAAGGAAUGGGAAGCAAGCAAAUAGGGGGGGAAUAGGGGAAAAAAUAUAAGAAAGAUCAAGCAGAUACACAUCAGUCCAAAUACACACAUACGGGGUGGCAUACCAUAGUUACGGACUACACAGUGAUAAAAAGCAGCAAGCAUAAACAUAGAAGUUUCAGAAAAGAAGAUAUAAGCAUACACAUAGCUCUAUCAUACAUACACACAUUUUUACUAAGCAUCACAUAUAGCGCAUAGAAUCCGGAAACAAUAACAAAACCACAAUCCAGAAUGCACACGCAGAGAUCCAACCAAAAACAUACAACAUCCGUAUCACUGAAUAAAGCAAUUCCGUAAGAAUCACAGGUCAUACCAGGUAAUAUUUUCUUAUUCAGCUUCCAAACUAGUUUUCUGUCCAUAUACCUAUUUUGUACUAUCACGUUCAAACAAUUAUAUAGAAACACAUUGGAUCAAAAAAAACAACAUAUCAUGAUAAUCUUAAAACAGUUUUGACUAGUUUAUGAAUGAUUGUUAGCCAAACCCUUUUGUCAUAAGCCUAUCUUCGAGCUACAUAAGCAAUAAAGAAUUAAGAUGACAUCGCAAUAUAUAACACGCUAGACUCUGCUAAAUGCUAAUCCUACGAUUAUCAAUCCGGUGUAUGUGGUCUUGUUGUUAUCAUUAUCACUCAUUAUACUAAGUUACGAAUCUGUAUUAAUCAUUGACAUCAAUAUGCGUUAUAUAAUGGAAUAGAAAACCUUUUUCAGUAACUUUGUUUCAAGAAAACCCAUCAAUCUUAGUCUUUUCAUUUAUGCAAUAUGUAGUGUUGAUAAUACUAAAAUGCGAAUACAAGAGCCUAAAAUAAAUAAAUUAGAAACAACAACACAUGGUUUGAUAUAGUGAGUUCGUUUCACAAAAUGAGAGCAACAUAGGCAAUAAAGCAGACAGUUAAGGUUUCAACAAAAAAGGGAGGCGAUUUGGUUCAUUACCAAAUUCUUUCGUCUCUGUCGAUCCCGUGAUUGAGAUAUUCAAUUCACAACCCGAUAAAAUAGAUGAGGUGAUGCAAGAA